AUAAUAGAAUGCAGUCGAACGAUGACCCCGUGCUUGCACGGGUGAUUAGUGGCGAACGGGUGAGUAACACGUGAGUAACCUGCCCCCGACUUUGGGAUAAGCCCGGGAAACUGGGUCUAAUACCGGAUAUGACUUCUUACCGCAUGGUGGGUUGUUGAAAGAUUUAUCGGUGGGGGAUGGACUCGCGGCCUAUCAGCUUGUUGGUGAGGUAAUGGCUCACCAAGGCGACGACGGGUAGCCGGCCUGAGAGGGUGACCGGCCACACUGGGACUGAGACACGGCCCAGACUCCUACGGGAGGCAGCAGUGGGGAAUAUUGCACAAUGGGCGAAAGCCUGAUGCAGCGACGCCGCGUGAGGGAUGACGGCCUUCGGGUUGUAAACCUCUUUCAGUAGGGAAGAAGCGAAAGUGACGGUACCUGCAGAAGAAGCGCCGGCUAACUACGUGCCAGCAGCCGCGGUAAUACGUAGGGCGCAAGCGUUAUCCGGAUUUAUUGGGCGUAAAGAGCUCGUAGGCGGUUUGUCGCGUCUGCCGUGAAAGUCCGAGGCUCAACCUCGGAUCUGCGGUGGGUACGGGCAGACUAGAGUGAUGUAGGGGAGACUGGAAUUCCUGGUGUAGCGGUGAAAUGCGCAGAUAUCAGGAGGAACACCGAUGGCGAAGGCAGGUCUCUGGGCAUUUACUGACGCUGAGGAGCGAAAGCAUGGGGAGCGAACAGGAUUAGAUACCCUGGUAGUCCAUGCCGUAAACGUUGGGCACUAGGUGUGGGGGACAUUCCACGUUUUCCGCGCCGUAGCUAACGCAUUAAGUGCCCCGCCUGGGGAGUACGGCCGCAAGGCUAAAACUCAAAGGAAUUGACGGGGGCCCGCACAAGCGGCGGAGCAUGCGGAUUAAUUCGAUGCAACGCGAAGAACCUUACCAAGGCUUGACAUGUGCCAGACCGCCUCAGAAGAUGGGGUUUCCCUUCGGGGCUGGUUCACAGGUGGUGCAUGGUUGUCGUCAGCUCGUGUCGUGAGAUGUUGGGUUAAGUCCCGCAACGAGCGCAACCCUUCGUUCCAUGUUGCCAGCACGUAGUGGUGGGGACUCAUGGGAGACUGCCGGGGUCAACUCGGAGGAAGGUGGGGAUGACGUCAAAUCAUCAUGCCCCUUAUGUCUUGGGCUUCACGCAUGCUACAAUGGCCGGUACAAUGGGUUGCGAUACUGUGAGGUGGAGCUAAUCCCUAAAAGCCGGUCUCAGUUCGGAUUGGGGUCUGCAACUCGACCCCAUGAAGUCGGAGUCGCUAGUAAUCGCAGAUCAGCAACGCUGCGGUGAAUACGUUCCCGGGCCUUGUACACACCGCCCGUCAAGUCACGAAAGUUGGUAACACCCGAAGCCGAUGGCUAGAGUUCCUUCUGGGUGGGAGUCGUUCGGUCAGUGAUGUAGUGAUCUAUGAUUACAGUGCA
Molecule: ribosomal RNA, 1439 nt
Filed under: Arthrobacter sp. PJD8
Lineage: Bacteria; Bacillati; Actinomycetota; Actinomycetes; Micrococcales; Micrococcaceae
Description: bacterial SSU rRNA
Rfam family: Bacterial small subunit ribosomal RNA
Source: RNAcentral